ACGUGGCAACCUCUGAGGUCCCGAAAAAAUGCGAGAAAAUACUCAAGCACGAUAUCCCGUCGUGAGGUAGCGUAAUUGAGAACCACUCGAAGGUGGAGAUUUGUGGCUAAUAUUGCUCUAACUCGUCAGCUAGAGGUAGACAUAAGCAUUUUGGAGAACUCGAGUUUGGCAAAAUAGACUGCGAUCGUCUGAUAACCCACGUAGCAACAGCCAACCUGAACGAACGCCUCUUCACCCUU
This 239-nucleotide long non-coding RNA is filed under the name Olea europaea (common olive). Its description in RNAcentral is "long non-coding RNA (OEUR_LNC006979)". The record is from RNAcentral. Lineage: Eukaryota; Viridiplantae; Streptophyta; Magnoliopsida; Lamiales; Oleaceae.